RNAcentral lists this ribosomal RNA (330 nucleotides) under uncultured bacterium. RNAcentral describes it as "bacterial SSU rRNA". It matches the Rfam family "Bacterial small subunit ribosomal RNA", at positions 42 to 400 of the family's 1533-position model. The record is from RNAcentral.
UCAGGCCUAACACAUGCAAGUCGAACGAACCCUUCGGGGUUAGUGGCGCACGGGUGCGUAACGCGUGGGAAUCUGCCCUUUGCUUCGGAAUAACAGUUAGAAAUGACUGCUAAUACCGGAUGAUGUCUUCGGACCAAAGAUUUAUCGGCAAGGGAUGAGCCCGCGUAGGAUUAGGUAGUUGGUGGGGUAAAGGCCUACCAAGCCGACGAUCCUUAGCUGGUCUGAGAGGAUGAUCAGCCACACUGAGACUGAGACACGGCCCAGACUCCUACGGGAGGCAGCAGUGGGGAAUAUUAGAGGAUGGGCGCAAGCCUGAUCCAGCAAUGCCGC